GCCCAUAUUCAUACAAAUGAUUCUCCUUUUCAAUAAAUUUUGCAAAUAAUUUCAUAAUUCAUCACUAAAUAUGUUUACAUCACAGGCCAUAAAGCCCUACAAAAUAGUAUCACAUGUUCCUAUACAAAACUAUCAAAUCAUACGUACAACAAAACAGAAUACAAAAAAUUUAGUUCAACAAAAAUAAAUUUUCUUCCUCUUUCAUCUUCCAGAACACAACACCUGUCAUUGAAAGGAUCGACCAUUAGAAGCAUAUAGAAUACAAGGGAAACAAUCAAAAUAAAGAAAUGAAAGGCACACAUAAUGAAAAUUACGACAACAUCAAUAUUUUUUAUAUUGCCAUACAAACAGAAAUGUAAUAUGAUUGCUUAGGACAUAUGGCAUUAUCAACAAGACAGCAAAAUUUAGAGUGCCAGCCCAGGAAGAAGGCAAAGCAUAUUUUACAGUGCGAGCUCAGGAUGCCACCAUGCAAACUAAACGAAGGGCAAGAGAGCAGGACGCAACUCUACCUGGAAAUGCUGCUAGCCAGCGACAGAAGUAAGUUGGUCGGAGCCAAAGAGGGGACUGCCAAAGAAGCCAAGCAUGCCGACGAGGAUGGGGUAACCGGUGAUCGUCUCCUGGUUCUCCUUGAUCUU
Molecule: long non-coding RNA, 635 nt
Filed under: Triticum aestivum (bread wheat)
Lineage: Eukaryota; Viridiplantae; Streptophyta; Magnoliopsida; Poales; Poaceae
Description: long non-coding RNA (TAES_LNC021756)
Source: RNAcentral